Molecule: non-coding RNA, 80 nt
Organism: Rhamnusium bicolor
Lineage: Eukaryota; Metazoa; Arthropoda; Insecta; Coleoptera; Cerambycidae
Source: the annotation of a GenBank genome assembly
GGUAUAGUAGCCGAGUGGGUAAAGCGCUUUAGCUACCUACUGGGUACCGAAGGUCGACGGUUCGAUUCCAUCCUGAAGCA